Molecule: ribosomal RNA, 699 nt
Filed under: uncultured bacterium
Lineage: Bacteria
Description: bacterial SSU rRNA
Rfam family: Bacterial small subunit ribosomal RNA
Source: RNAcentral
CAUGCAAGUCGAGCGGACCCUUCGGGGUUAGCGGCGGACGGGUGAGUAACACGUGGGUAACCUGCCUGUAAGAUUGGGAUAACUCCGGGAAACCGGAGCUAAUACCGGAUAACAUUUCGAACCGCAUGGUUCGAAAUUGAAAGACGGCUUUUAGCUGUCACUUACAGAUGGACCCGCGGCGCAUUAGCUAGUUGGUGAGGUAACGGCUCACCAAGGCGACGAUGCGUAGCCGACCUGAGAGGGUGAUCGGCCACACUGGGACUGAGACACGGCCCAGACUCCUACGGGAGGCAGCAGUAGGGAAUCUUCCGCAAUGGACGAAAGUCUGACGGAGCAACGCCGCGUGAACGAUGAAGGCCUUCGGGUCGUAAAGUUCUGUUGUUAGGGAAGAACAAGUACCAGAGUAACUGCUGGUACCUUGACGGUACCUAACCAGAAAGCCACGGCUAACUACGUGCCAGCAGCCGCGGUAAUACGUAGGUGGCAAGCGUUGUCCGGAAUUAUUGGGCGUAAAGCGCGCGCAGGCGGUUUCUUAAGUCUGAUGUGAAAGCCCACGGCUCAACCGUGGAGGGUCAUUGGAAACUGGGAAACUUGAGUGCAGAAGAGGAGAGUGGAAUUCCACGUGUAGCGGUGAAAUGCGUAGAGAUGUGGAGGAACACCAGUGGCGAAAGCGACUCUCUGGUCUGUAACUGACGCUGA